Molecule: long non-coding RNA, 630 nt
Organism: Thalassophryne amazonica
Lineage: Eukaryota; Metazoa; Chordata; Actinopteri; Batrachoidiformes; Batrachoididae
Exons: 2
Source: RefSeq, a predicted model, not a curated record
CUUUGGCUUUCUUUUGACCCACACUGGCUGUCAGGUAGCUGCUCUCCACAUUUAGGAAUUCCUGUCAGACGUGAAGACGUUUCCCGUAAAUCCAAAAGCUGUUUCAGUUUCCUUGUUACUGUCAAAUCUGAAGUAAUAACAGAGGAAAUUCCCACUUUGGAAAAGACAGCAAAACCUUCAGCACAAGUCUGUCAGUGUCUCGGCGGAGAGAAGGCGAGCGGACGGUUACGCACGGCGGUGUCGGCUGGUCACAGACGGAACAUUACGCUGCGUCAGCGUGGAAUAAACGACGCGUGGGUGUUUCAUCAUCUUCGACACUGUCCUCGGUAGAAAUCGGGCUGAGAAUUGCAUAAUUAAAGGAAUCCAUCAAAUUCUGACAGCUGUGCCAGGAGGGAGUGCAUCAUGGGAUAUGGAAGGUGGCAAAGGGUAACCCAUGACAACAACAACACCAAACACACAAAGGCUUUUCUGGUGCGCAGUGAUUCACUAAGCAGCUAUGUGUUGGGUGUUUUAAUGUCAGAUAUCACAAGAUGAAUUGUUUUGUUCAUUACUUUUCAUUCAGAUUGUUUGUUCAUGUUUUUUUUAAGCUAUGUUCUGUCAGGUAAACAUAUUUAAUAAUUUAAAAUAAUC